CGACCGGCGCACGGUGAGUAACGCGUAUGCAACUUACCUAUCAGAGGGGGAUAGCCCGGCGAAAGUCGGAUUAAUACCCCAUAAACAGGGGUCCCGCAUGGGAAUAUUUGUUAAAGAUUCAUCGCUGAUAGAUAGGCAUGCGUUCCAUUAGGCAGUUGGCGGGGUAACGGCCCACCAAACCGACGAUGGAUAGGGGUUCUGAGAGGAAGGUCCCCCACAUUGGUACUGAGACACGGACCAA
This 241-nucleotide ribosomal RNA is filed under the name uncultured bacterium. RNAcentral's name for it is "partial 16S ribosomal RNA". It matches the Rfam family "Bacterial small subunit ribosomal RNA", at positions 92 to 334 of the family's 1533-position model. The record is from RNAcentral.